RNAcentral lists this ribosomal RNA (419 nucleotides) under Amoenoboletus weberi. RNAcentral's name for it is "LSU rRNA". It matches the Rfam family "Eukaryotic large subunit ribosomal RNA", at positions 63 to 471 of the family's 3401-position model. Lineage: Eukaryota; Fungi; Basidiomycota; Agaricomycetes; Boletales; Boletaceae. The record is from RNAcentral.
AACUAACAAGGAUUCCCCUAGUAACUGCGAGUGAAGCGGGAAGAGCUCAAAUUUUGAAUCUGACGGUCUUUUGGCUGUCCGAGUUGUAAUCUAGAGAAGCGUUUUCCGCGCUGGGACCGUGUACAAGUCUCCUGGAAGGGAGCGUCAUAGAGGGUGAGAAUCCCGUCUUUGACACGGAUCACCCCAGUGCUAUGUGAUACGCUCUCGACGAGUCGAGUUGUUUGGGAAUGCAGCUCAAAAUGGGUGGUAAACUCCAUCUAAAGCUAAAUACAGGCGAGAGACCGAUAGCGAACAAGUACCGUGAGGGAAAGAUGAAAAGAACUUUGAAAAGAGAGUUAAACAGUACGUGAAAUUGCUGAAAGGGAAACGCUUGAUGUCAGUCGCGUCGGCUUGGGGAUCAACCUUGCUUCUUCGUUGGG